AGGAUAUUACAACAGGAGAAAAGGAAUGUAUUUAUGAGACAACUAGAGGAGGCCAACCGGAUCACCACCUAUCUACACACUCAGUUGAAGAGCCUAUCAGCCAGUAAUCUGACUGUUUCAGUCCAGCAGUAGCCGUGGCUCUUUAGCCUCCAGUCGUGGCUCUUUAGCUUCCAGCCGUGGUUCUCUCAGUUCUGUCAGCUUUACCGACAUCUAUGGCCUGCCCCAGUAUGAGCGUCCAGAGGGCAGCUCUGAUGUUCCGGACCCUUCUUUCCGAUACCUUCUCCCAUUGGAGACCCACAGCAGGGAUGGUUCAGCCUUCGGCCCAAAACGCUCCCACGACACACCGCAGUCUCUCACAUCUCUUUCCUCUCGGUCCUCGCUGUCCUCUCUUUCACCGCCCAGCUCCCCAUGGACACCCCCUACCACUCCGCCCCCCAGAUUGCCUUCUGGCCCAGAUGACUGAGGAGUACAUGGAGGUGGCUGGCAGGGGUUGUUGAUGGAAGGGCUGCGGUGUCAGACCCAAGCCCAGCAGCAAUCGAGAUCUUCCUGGGGAAGGGAAAUGGGAGGCCCAGCCACUGCAUACCUCCUUGAAGGAAAGACCCAUCGAGAUGGAGGGCUCCAGGGCACACACAGCUCCACAGGAGUGACUCUGCGCUGUAAGAGUGUGAGUAGGACCAGCAGAAGGGCAAGACGCAGUGUCUGCUGGAGUCAAUGAAGAUGUUUUGGCAACAGACAGUGGGGUGUUUGAAACUUGGAGCAGAAGUAGGACAGAGGAAUCGGAGGAAGUCACUUUUGCUCAAGACGUCACAGCCUUAGAGCCAGUUCAGAUUCAGCUUGGUCUUCUGUA
Long non-coding RNA from Xyrauchen texanus (razorback sucker), 847 nucleotides. RefSeq lists it as uncharacterized. The transcript is spliced from 4 exons. The record is from RefSeq and is a predicted model, not a curated record. NCBI's taxonomy places the organism in Eukaryota, Metazoa, Chordata, Actinopteri, Cypriniformes, Catostomidae.